This 1000-nucleotide ribosomal RNA is filed under the name Syllis gracilis complex lineage 1 PAC-2017. RNAcentral describes it as "SSU rRNA". It matches the Rfam family "Eukaryotic small subunit ribosomal RNA", at positions 588 to 1541 of the family's 1831-position model. Lineage: Eukaryota; Metazoa; Annelida; Polychaeta; Phyllodocida; Syllidae. The record is from RNAcentral.
GCUCCAGUAGCGUAUAUUAAAGUGUGCAGUUAAAAGCUCGUAGUUGGAUCUCGGGCUCGCCGGCCGCGCGGUCUCGCAGGUCAUCUAGGCACUGUCCGCCUGCGGUGCACUGCCGUCGGCGCCCAACCGGCGGGGGGACCGGCCCUGAACCAGCCGCUGUCCUGGCCCUCAAAAGCCAGCCGCGGGUGCCCUUAACUGGAGCUGCCCGAGGCACCCGCCCGUUUUACUUUGAAAAAAUUAGAGUGUUCAAGGCAGGCUUCAGACGGCCUGAAUAAUGGUGCAUGGAAUAAUGGAAUAGGAUCUCGGUUCUAUUUUGUUGGUUUUCGGAACUCGAGAUAAUGAUUAAGAGGGACAGACGGGGGCAUCCGUACUGCGGCGUUAGAGGUGAAAUUCUUGGAUCGCCGCAAGACGAACUACUGCGAAAGCAUUUGCCAAGAAUGUUUUCGUUAAUCAAGAACGAAAGUCAGAGGUUCGAAGACGAUCAGAUACCGUCCUAGUUCUGACCAUAAACGAUGCCGACUAGCGAUCCGCCGGAGUUGUACCUAUGACCCGGCGGGCAGCUUCCGGGAAACCAAAGUCUUUGGGUUCCGGGGGAAGUAUGGUUGCAAAGCUGAAACUUAAAGGAAUUGACGGAAGGGCACCACCAGGAGUGGAGCCUGCGGCUUAAUUUGACUCAACACGGGGAAACUCACCCGGCCCGGACACCGUGAGGAUUGACAGAUUGAGAGCUCUUUCUUGAUUCGGUGGGUGGUGGUGCAUGGCCGUUCUUAGUUGGUGGAGCGAUUUGUCUGGUUAAUUCCGAUAACGAACGAGACUCUAGCCUAUUAACUAGCUCGUCGUAGGUGAAUCUUAACGGCGAUAACAGAAGCUUCUUAGAGGGACAAGCGGCGCUUAGCCGCACGAGAUUGAGCAAUAACAGGUCUGUGAUGCCCUUAGAUGUUCGGGGCCGCACGCGCGCUACACUGAAGGUGUCAGAGGGUCGAGUCCUAGUCUGACAAGG